ACUCAAAUGAAUAGACGGGGGCCCGCACAAGCGGAGGAACAUGUGGUUUAAUUCGAUGAUACGCGAGGAACCUUACCCGGGCUUGAAAUGCAUCUGACGUGGGCAGAGACGCCCAUUCCCCUCGGGGCAGAUGUGUAGGUGCUGCAUGGUUGUCGUCAGCUCGUGCCGUGAGGUGUCGGCUUAAGUGCCAUAACGAGCGCAACCCUCAUCAUUAGUUACCAUCAGGUGAAGCUGGGGACUCUAAUGAGACUGCCAUCGUAAGAUGCGAGGAAGGUGGGGAUGACGUCAAAUCAGCACGGCCCUUACGUCCGGGGCGACACACGUGUUACAAUGGGUGGUACAAAGGGCAGCUACAUGGCGACAUGAUGCUAAUCUCCAAAACCGCUCUCAGUUCGGAUCGGAGUCUGCAACUCGACUCCGUGAAGCUGGAUUCGCUAGUAAUCGCGCAUCAGCCACGGCGCGGUGAAUACGUUCCCGGGCCUUGCACACACCGCCCGU
This 498-nucleotide ribosomal RNA is filed under the name uncultured bacterium. RNAcentral describes it as "bacterial SSU rRNA". It matches the Rfam family "Bacterial small subunit ribosomal RNA", at positions 899 to 1397 of the family's 1533-position model. The record is from RNAcentral.